Non-coding RNA from Phasianus colchicus (ring-necked pheasant), 755 nucleotides. The record is from RefSeq and is a predicted model, not a curated record. NCBI's taxonomy places the organism in Eukaryota, Metazoa, Chordata, Aves, Galliformes, Phasianidae.
UGUCUUGCCUGCAAGUGCUGCAAUGAGCAAGUGGCUGCACCUGUGGUUUGAAUCAGAUGUUGGCAAUCAGGUAAUUAGUGCUCUGGUACAUAGUGUGGUCCCUGUGGUUGAGGAGUGUUAGUUGGAUUUAGACUGGUUGCUGGUCUUAUUGUUGUGAAGCCUUACAGUUAAUUUUCUAAAGGAUCUCUUGGGUUGACACCUUGCUUCACUGAGUGGUUGUGCUUUACUGAAUUUUUCCAUUGCUGAAGAAUCCAUCAGAGCCUUUGGGAAAUUGAAGCUGGCAUUUCAGAGGGAGGACAAGGCAUUAUAAACUCCUGACUCUUUCUCCCACUGCCCACAGCUAUUGCAGCUGAGGUCAUCCAGCUAAUAAGCAGCAAGAGCACAUCACAACUGAGACAAACAAAUCAAGCAAAUGAAGCAGCUGAUAAGAGACAACCACUGAAGAAAUUAAUUGCUCUUCUCAAGACUUCUUUAAUUUCAUUAACAGUGUUGUUUGUUUGUUCUACUUUUUCUUCAAGCUUUUUUUUAAAGGUUUCUGUGAUUUCUUCAUGUGCCUUUCACUGCCAGGAGUACCCACAUACAUUCAGAUGGGUACUUUAUGUAUGAUUUUUCUUCAUCAGUUCAAAAGACAAUCAUGAUAUGGACAUAAAUUAAAUGGAAAGGUCUCUGCCUCUUGUAUGGAAAUUAAUUUAAUGAUGAGAUUUUCUUGACAUGCGUUUCUUCCUAAUAAAACCUGACCAUUCUUCUCAUAAAAA